GGAGGCUUAGAAGUGUGGACGCCAGUCUGCAUGGAGCCGACCUUGAAAUACCACCCUUUAAUGUUUGAUGUUCUAACGUGGACCCGUGAUCCGGGUUGCGGACAGUGUCUGGUGGGUAGUUUGACUGGGGCGGUCUCCUCCUAAAGAGUAACGGAGGAGCACGAAGGUUGGCUAAUCCUGGUCGGACAUCAGGAGGUUAGUGCAAUGGCAUAAGCCAGCUUGACUGCGAGCGUGACGGCGCGAGCAGGUGCGAAAGCAGGUCAUAGUGAUCCGGUGGUUCUGAAUGGAAGGGCCAUCGCUCAACGGAUAAAAGGUACUCCGGGGAUAACAGGCUGAUACCGCCCAAGAGUUCAUAUCGACGGCGGUGUUUGGCACCUCGAUGUCGGCUCAUCACAUCCUGGGGCUGAAGUAGGUCCCAAGGGUAUGGCUGUUCGCCAUUUAAAGUGGUACGCGAGCUGGGUUUAGAACGUCGUGAGACAGUUCGGUCCCUAUCUGCCGUGGGCGCUGGAGAACUGAGGGGGGCUGCUCCUAGUACGAGAGGACCGGAGUGGACGCAUCACUGGUGUUCGGGUUGUCAUGCCAAUGGCACUGCCCGGUAGCUAAAUGCGGAAGAGAUAAGUGCUGAAAGCAUCUAAGCACGAAACUUGCC
This 649-nucleotide ribosomal RNA is filed under the name Escherichia coli. RNAcentral's name for it is "partial 23S ribosomal RNA". It matches the Rfam family "Bacterial large subunit ribosomal RNA", at positions 2150 to 2798 of the family's 2925-position model. Lineage: Bacteria; Pseudomonadati; Pseudomonadota; Gammaproteobacteria; Enterobacterales; Enterobacteriaceae. The record is from RNAcentral.